This 361-nucleotide ribosomal RNA is filed under the name Simrothiellidae sp. 3 FSB-2019. RNAcentral describes it as "partial large subunit ribosomal RNA". It matches the Rfam family "Bacterial large subunit ribosomal RNA", at positions 1913 to 2521 of the family's 2925-position model. The record is from RNAcentral. Lineage: Eukaryota; Metazoa; Mollusca; Solenogastres; Cavibelonia; Simrothiellidae.
GGAUUUUUUUCUAAACGGCCGCAGAAUUUUAACUGUGCUAAGGUAGCAUAAUCAUUUGUCCUUUAAUUGGGGACUAGUAUGAAUGGUUUAACGAAAUUAAGCUGUCUCAUUUAUAUAAAAUAAAAUUUAAUCUUAAAGUUAAAAAGCUUUAAUUCAGUAAAAAGACAAAAAGACCCUAUAGAGUUUUAUUCUUUUAUUAGCAAAUAAAACAAAAGAAUUUUGUUGGGGCAACUAAGAAAAAAUAAAUUUUUCUUACACAUAAUAAAUAUAACUUAUCAUUAACUUUAAUAACAUAAAAUAAAUUACCUUAGGGAUAACAGCAUAAUUUUCUUUGAGAGUCCAAAUCGAAAAGAAAAAUUAU